RNAcentral lists this ribosomal RNA (490 nucleotides) under uncultured bacterium. RNAcentral describes it as "partial 16S ribosomal RNA". It matches the Rfam family "Bacterial small subunit ribosomal RNA", at positions 29 to 505 of the family's 1533-position model. The record is from RNAcentral.
AGUGAACGCUGGCGGUAGGCCUAACACAUGCAAGUCGAACGGCAGCACAGUAAGAGCUUGCUCUUACGGGUGGCGAGUGGCGGACGGGUGAGGAAUACAUCGGAAUCUACUUUUUCGUGGGGGAUAACGUAGGGAAACUUACGCUAAUACCGCAUACGACCUACGGGUGAAAGCAGGGGAUCUUCGGACCUUGCGCGAUUGAAUGAGCCGAUGUCGGAUUAGCUAGUUGGCGGGGUAAAGGCCCACCAAGGCGACGAUCCGUAGCUGGUCUGAGAGGAUGAUCAGCCACACUGGAACUGAUACACGAUCCAGACUCCUACGGGAGGCAGCAGUGGGGAAUAUUGGACAAUGGGCGCAAGCCGGAUCCAGCCAUACCGCGUGGGUGAAGAAGGCCUUCGGGUGGUAAAGCCCUUUUGUUGGGAAAGGAAAGCAGCAGGUUAAUACCCCGCUGUUCUGACGGUACCAAAAGAAUAAGCACCGGCUAACUUCG